AGUCCUGUAGCUCAGCGGUUAGAGCACUCGCCUAAUAAGAGAGAGGACCUGGGUUUGAUUCCCAGUGGGGCGA
Callorhinchus milii (elephant shark) is the source of this 73-nucleotide non-coding RNA. Lineage: Eukaryota; Metazoa; Chordata; Chondrichthyes; Chimaeriformes; Callorhinchidae. The record is from the annotation of a RefSeq genome assembly.